GGGGAACGGAAAGAUGAAGGGAGCGCAGCAAUGCAACCAGGCCGUACUGCUCCCCGGCAUGCAACCACUAUUAUACCCACCGGCCUAUCCUCUCUGCGUGCAUGUGAAGGUACACAGGGACAGGGCCAGCUAGCUCGGUGUAUUAUCCUCGUGCAUUCUCUUUUUUUUUCUGAUGAAAUAAAAAUCCUCGUUGCAUUCACUGCAUGCAUCUCAAUGCCGCGUACUAUGAGAAAGCAUAUAGCAGAUAUUGUCGC
This 254-nucleotide long non-coding RNA is filed under the name Setaria viridis. RNAcentral describes it as "long non-coding RNA (SVIR_LNC008350)". The record is from RNAcentral. Lineage: Eukaryota; Viridiplantae; Streptophyta; Magnoliopsida; Poales; Poaceae.